This 492-nucleotide ribosomal RNA is filed under the name uncultured bacterium. RNAcentral's name for it is "partial 16S ribosomal RNA". It matches the Rfam family "Bacterial small subunit ribosomal RNA", at positions 29 to 507 of the family's 1533-position model. The record is from RNAcentral.
AGUGAACGCUGGCGGUAGGCCUAACACAUGCAAGUCGAACGGCAGCACAGUAAGAGCUUGCUCUUACGGGUGGCGAGUGGCGGACGGGUGAGGAAUACAUCGGAAUCUACUUUUUCGUGGGGGAUAACGUAGGGAAACUUACGCUAAUACCGCAUACGACCUACGGGUGAAAGCAGGGGAUCUUCGGACCUUGCGCGAUUGAAUGAGCCGAUGUCGGAUUAGCUAGUUGGCGGGGUAAAGGCCCACCAAGGCGACGAUCCGUAGCUGGUCUGAGAGGAUGAUCAGCCACACUGGAACUGAGACACGGUCCAGACUCCUAAGGGAGGCAGCAGUGGGGAAUAUUGGACAAGGGGCGCAAGCCUGAUCAAGCCAUACCGCGUGGGUGAAGAAGGCCUUCGGGUUGUAAAGCCCUUUUGUUGGGGAAGAAAAGCAGCAGGUGAAUACCCCGCUGUUCUGACGGUACCCAAAGAAUAAGCACCGGCUAACUUCGUG